RNAcentral lists this ribosomal RNA (745 nucleotides) under uncultured bacterium. RNAcentral describes it as "bacterial SSU rRNA". It matches the Rfam family "Bacterial small subunit ribosomal RNA", at positions 97 to 845 of the family's 1533-position model. The record is from RNAcentral.
GGCGCACGGGUGCGUAACGCGUAUGCAAUCUACCUUUCACAGAGGGAUAGCCCAGAGAAAUUUGGAUUAAUACCUCAUAGUAUUACGAAAUGGCAUCAUUUUGUAAUUAAAGUCACAACGGUGAAAGAUGAGCAUGCGUCCCAUUAGCUAGUUGGCAAGGUAACGGCUUACCAAGGCUACGAUGGGUAGGGGUCCUGAGAGGGAGAUCCCCCACACUGGUACUGAGACACGGACCAGACUCCUACGGGAGGCAGCAGUGAGGAAUAUUGGACAAUGGGCGCAAGCCUGAUCCAGCCAUGCCGCGUGCAGGAUGACGGUCCUAUGGAUUGUAAACUGCUUUUGCACAGGAAGAAACAACGCUACGUGUAGCGUCUUGACGGUACUGUGAGAAUAAGGAUCGGCUAACUCCGUGCCAGCAGCCGCGGUAAUACGGAGGAUCCAAGCGUUAUCCGGAAUCAUUGGGUUUAAAGGGUCCGUAGGCGGUUUAGUAAGUUAGUGGUGAAAGCCCAUCGCUCAACGGUGGAACGGCCAUUGAUACUGCUAGACUUGAAUUAUUAGGAAGUAACUAGAAUAUGUAGUGUAGCGGUGAAAUGCUUAGAGAUUACAUGGAAUACCAAUUGCGAAGGCAGGUUACUACUAAUGGAUUGACGCUGAUGGACGAAAGCGUGGGUAGCGAACAGGAUUAGAUACCCUGGUAGUCCACGCCGUAAACGAUGGAUACUAGCUGUUGGGAGCAAUCUCAGUG